Long non-coding RNA from Plodia interpunctella (Indianmeal moth), 2428 nucleotides. RefSeq lists it as uncharacterized. The record is from RefSeq and is a predicted model, not a curated record. The transcript has 2 exons. Lineage: Eukaryota; Metazoa; Arthropoda; Insecta; Lepidoptera; Pyralidae.
GGGGAUAAACUGCGUUAAGCGUGUGCACGCACGUGAGCACGUCGCGGGCCACGCUUCUGGUGCACGCACGUGAGCACGUUCGCGUGCUUAUGCGCGGGCAUCGGCGCGUGCAUCCGCGUACGCAGUUUUCUCAGUACAAUUUUGACGUUGGAGGUGUACAGUCGAAUAAGUAAUAAUGGAUAAAUUAAUGUUGUAUUAUUUAUCAAGACGACGGCGACGACGAAUUGCCAAAAAAAGACGCCAGCCAGUAAGCCCGUUCGUUGAAUCUAGGUUACUGUGCGGGGAAUUCGUGGUGAAGUUUGGUAUAUUAAGAAAAAAUGAAAGGUUUUUUUUCAAAUAUUUUAAAGUUUCAUUACAAGUCUAUGAUGAAUUAUAUUCAAAACUGGAGCCCUAUUUGAAGACUAACAAUCUACGAUUGAAAUCUACGUCAAUCGUAUCACCAAUGGAACGAUUUGCAAUGACAUUGCGUUGGUAAUAAUGACUUAAAAAAAUUCAAGUCUUCGUCCAUAUUAUCUGCAGUGUUAUUCUUCACGCAAUUUAACAACUCUAAUUCGAAAUCAGUUGGCGAUUCGCACUUACGUUUCUUGGAAGAUCGUGUUUCUUUGGUAACGCUGGAGCUGGUGCUAGGUACAUUAAUCAAAUCUUCUUCAAUAAUCGUAUUAUUUUGUGAAGUUCUCGGUGACGCGUUUUGCUCUACUGACUGAUUAAAAUUGUCUGCCGAUUCUUCUCCUUGAGUAUUCGAGUUUGAAUCUAAAAAUGACAGCAUGUUAUAGUAAAUGUAUGUUUUAUUUGCCCUGGAACCGGAGCCUGAUUUAAGUUUUUUUUUAGUAGACCUCACUCUUAUAUAAGUGUCUCUUGCAGUUUUCCAUCUUUGCUGCAGCUUUUUCACUGAAACAAUAACACAGGUAUUUUAUUUUAUUACAGAUAUUUAGUUAGUGGACAUACCUUCGUCGAUAUUCAUCUGGCGUAUCAGACAGGACUAACCACGGUCAGAAAAAUAGUAACAGAAGUUUGUCAAAUUAUAAUUGAAAGGUUAAAGGAAGAAUGUAUACCAAAAUUUUCCCGUGCGCUAUGGGUAGAGACUGAAAAAGGUUUUUUAACGCAAGCCCAGUUUCCUAACUGCAUAGGUGCAAUAGACGGAAAACAUAUACGCAUUAUAAGACCUCCACAUAGUGGUUCCCUCUAUUACAACUAUAAGCAUUACUAUUCUAUUGUACUGCUUGCAAUGUGUAACGCCAACUAUGAGUUUACCUAUAUAAACGUGGGAGUGCAGGGUAAAGAAUCUGACUCCGCAAUUUUCACACAAAGCCGAUUGUACGAACAAAUCAACAAUGACUUAAUAGAUAUUCCUCCUGCCAAAGCAUUGCCCGUAAUACACAAUGAUAAACCAACCAACAUUGCUGCAACCGCAGCUUUGCCCUAUAUUAUUGUAGGAGAUGAAGCAUUUGGGUUAUCUAGCCAUGUCAUGCGGCCAUAUGCUCGAGCUCUCGAUUUAAACUACAAAAAAAAAAUAUUCAAUUAUAGGUUAACGAGAGCGCGACGUUAUAUUGAGUGUACAUUUGGUAUCAUGGCUAAUAAAUUUCGCAUACUCCAUCGUCCAUUGAACGUUGGAAAAGACAAAGCAAUUUGUUUUCUUAAAACAAUUUGUAUUUUGCAUAAUUUUAUAAGAUCAAGAAGUCAAAUUAAUGACUUUCAUGAUAUUGUCAUUAUACCAGACCAUAUACGUUCAGUUCGGGGGUUAAUUGGAAAUACCCACAGAGAUUCGUAUACAUUACGCGAUAACUUCGCAGAUUAUUUCGUUGCAGACGGACAGCUGUCAUGGCAAGAUCGCAGUAUUUAUUGAAGGCUUUUUUAUAAUUUAUGUACAUUCAAUAAUUGAAUUUUCACGGUUUUUUACCACACAUUUUUUAUUAACAUAGCAGGCAUAUUUUAAUAAUAUACCUAAUGAUUUUAUUUGUUAAAUUCAUCGGAUGUAACCAGUUGCGCCGCCAUGACAGUCGAAAAUUAUAAGAAAUUCAGUAUUCUUACAUUAAAUAGGUAAAAUGUUAUGUAAUUACGCAUAAAAUGAAACUUUUUUUCUUUCAUUACACAUCCAGUGAUGUGUAGUUUGUACAGUGUCUAAAAACACAAGUAGGCAUCUUUUUUACUAAAAUAUUAUUGGUACUCAAACACAUGUAGACGCGACACCGAUUGGAGCGUGACUAACUGCAUGGUAGGCAAUUACCUUCCAUUGCUCUUGCCUUUGAAAGCGGGCGUAUAACUAAUCUAGUUAUAUAAAAUCAUAGGAUGUAACCAAAUAACUUAGAUUGUUGUAAACUAAAGUUGAGAGAUGUCAAAGAAAAACCUACAAAACUACAAAACGCACGCUUAUUUUACAAAGUUACUAGCCCAAUUCUAAAACCAAUAUAAUAAAUAUUUUAGUUGAUAA